AGUCUGAUGGAGCAACGCCGCGUGAGUGAAGAAGGGUUUCGGCUCGUAAAGCUCUGUUGGUAGUGAAGAAAGAUAGAGGUAGUAACUGGCCUUUAUUUGACGGUAAUUACUUAGAAAGUCACGGCUAACUACGUGCCAGCAGCCGCGGUAAUACGUAGGUGGCAAGCGUUGUCCGGAUUUAUUGGGCGUAAAGCGAGUGCAGGCGGUUCAAUAAGUCUGAUGUGAAAGCCUUCGGCUCAACCGGAGAAUUGCAUCAGAAACUGUUGAACUUGAGUGCAGAAGAGGAGAGUGGAACUCCAUGUGUAGCGGUGGAAUGCGUAGAUAUAUGGAAGAACACCAGUGGCGAAGGCGGCCCUCUGGUCUGCAACUGACGCUGAGGCUCGAAAGCAUGGGUAGCGAACAGGAUUAGAUACCCUGGUAGUCCAUGCCGUAAACGAUGAGUGCUAAGUGUUGGGAGGUUUCCGCCUCUCAGUGCUGCAGCUAACGCAUUAAGCACUCCGCCUGGGGAGUACGAACGCAAGGUUGAAACUCAAAGGAAUUGACGGGGGCCCGCACAAGCGGUGGAGCAUGUGGUUUAAUUCGAAGCAACGCGAAGAACCUUA
Molecule: ribosomal RNA, 602 nt
Filed under: Lactobacillus gasseri
Lineage: Bacteria; Bacillati; Bacillota; Bacilli; Lactobacillales; Lactobacillaceae
Description: bacterial SSU rRNA
Rfam family: Bacterial small subunit ribosomal RNA
Source: RNAcentral